GCUUCUAUGGUGGAAGUGGUAGACACGGCAGAUUCAAAAUCUUUUGUCUUUUGACGUGCUGGUUCGACUCCGGCUGGAAGUA
Non-coding RNA from Ectocarpus siliculosus, 82 nucleotides. Lineage: Eukaryota; Phaeophyceae; Ectocarpales; Ectocarpaceae. The record is from Rfam.